GCUCUUUGAGGAGCUGUCCUUUGGCAGCCUGCUGGGAUUUCCUUCAAGAGGAGGAGAGGAAGGGAAACACUUGUCCAGGAUAAAGCCUAGCUCCCUAUAUAUCCGUUCCUCUAUGUGGAUGAAAUGUGAUGAUCCGCAGUCAACACCCUGCACAGCCAGCCUCUUCUCAGCAUCUGCCUUCAGAUAAACUAACCUGCAAUAGCUGACCUCACUGGUGUCAUUGAGCACAUCCAAAAUCAUUUUAAAUAUCUCU
RNAcentral lists this long non-coding RNA (253 nucleotides) under Sus scrofa (pig). Its description in RNAcentral is "lncRNA (ENSSSCG00030043438.1, ENSSSCG00040034136.1)". Lineage: Eukaryota; Metazoa; Chordata; Mammalia; Artiodactyla; Suidae. The record is from RNAcentral.